GAAGUGCUUGCACUUUGCUGACGAGUGGCGGACGGGUGAGUAAUGCUUGGGAACUUGCCUUUGCGAGGGGGAUAACAGUUGGAAACGACUGCUAAUACCGCAUAAUGUCUACGGACCAAACGGGGCUUACGCUUCAGCGCAGAGAGAGGCCCAAGUGAGAUUAGCUAGUUGGUGGGGUAAAGGCUCACCAAGGCGACGAUCUCUAGCUGUUCUGAGAGGAAGAUCAGCCACACUGGGACUGAGACACGGCCCAGACUCCUACGGGAGGCAGCAGUGGGGAAUAUUGCACAAUGGGGGGAACCCUGAUGCAGCCAUGCCGCGUGUGUGAAGAAGGCCUUCGGGUUGUAAAGCACUUUCAGUUGUGAGGAAAAGUGAGUAGUUAAUACCUGCUCACCGUGACGUUAACAACAGAAGAAGCACCGGCUAACUCCGUGCCAGCAGCCGCGGUAAUACGGAGGGUGCGAGCGUUAAUCGGAAUUACUGGGCGUAAAGCGCACGCAGGCGGUUUGUUAAGCUAGAUGUGAAAGCCCCGAGCUCAACUUGGGAUGGUCAUUUAGAACUGGCAGACUAGAGUCUUGGAGAGGGGAGUGGAAUUCCAGGUGUAGCGGUGAAAUGCGUANAUAUCUGGAGGAACAUCANUGGCGAAGGCGACUCCCUGGCCAAAGACUGACGCUCAUGUGCGAAAGUGUGGGUAGCGAACAGGAUUAGAUACCCUGGUAGUCCACACCGUAAACGCUGUCUACUAGCUGUUUGUGGCUUUAA
Molecule: ribosomal RNA, 762 nt
Filed under: Vibrio sp.
Lineage: Bacteria; Pseudomonadati; Pseudomonadota; Gammaproteobacteria; Vibrionales; Vibrionaceae
Description: bacterial SSU rRNA
Rfam family: Bacterial small subunit ribosomal RNA
Source: RNAcentral